AUUGAACGCUGGCGGCAUGCCUUACACAUGCAAGUCGAACGGCAGCACGGGAGCAAUCCUGGUGGCGAGUGGCGAACGGGUGAGUAAAGUAUCGGAACGUGCCCAGUCGUGGGGGAUAACGUAGCGAAAGUUACGCUAAUACCGCAAACGAUCUAUGGAUGAAAGCGGGGGAUCGCAAGACCUCGCGCGAUUGGAGCGGCCGAUAUCAGAUUAGGUAGUUGGUGGGGUAAAGGCUCACCAAGCCGACGAUCUGUAGCUGGUCUGAGAGGACGACCAGCCGCACUGGGACUGAGACACGGCCCAGACUCCUACGGGAGGCAGCAGUGGGGAAUUUUGGACAAUGGGCGCAAGCCUGAUCCAGCCAUGCCGCGUGCAGGAUGAAGGCCUUCGGAUUGUAAACUGCUUUUGUACGGAACGAAAAGGUUUGACUUAAUACGUUGGACUCAUGACGGUACCGUAAGAAUAAGCACCGGCUAACUACGUGCCAGCAGCCGCGGUAA
Molecule: ribosomal RNA, 500 nt
Filed under: uncultured bacterium
Lineage: Bacteria
Description: partial 16S ribosomal RNA
Rfam family: Bacterial small subunit ribosomal RNA
Source: RNAcentral